Molecule: non-coding RNA, 131 nt
Filed under: Phascolarctos cinereus (koala)
Lineage: Eukaryota; Metazoa; Chordata; Mammalia; Diprotodontia; Phascolarctidae
Source: RNAcentral
GCAUUAUAUAAAAGGAAGAAAGGUUAGCACUCCACUUGAUAAGGAUGAAAUGGAUGACCUAUUGACCUUUAAUUACACACACACAAGUGCAUAUACAUACACAAUAUUCAUGUACAUACACAUACAUUCAU